ACCAGCAUGGUGUAGUGGUUUGUGUGUCAGACUAUGACUCUGGAAAUCAGGGUUCGAUUCCCUGCUAGAC
Molecule: non-coding RNA, 70 nt
Organism: Phrynosoma platyrhinos (Desert horned lizard)
Lineage: Eukaryota; Metazoa; Chordata; Lepidosauria; Squamata; Phrynosomatidae
Source: the annotation of a GenBank genome assembly